GUGCCUGCAUUGACAGCACAUACACUAAAAUUGGAAUGAUACAGAGAAGAUUAGUAUGGCCCCUGCGCAAGGAUGACACGCAAAUUUGUGAAGUGUUCCAUAUUUUU
This is a small nuclear RNA of Pan paniscus (pygmy chimpanzee), 107 nucleotides long. The record is from Ensembl. Lineage: Eukaryota; Metazoa; Chordata; Mammalia; Primates; Hominidae.